GGAGAGUUGAUCCCGAUAAUAAUCGGGAGUAAUGUAAUGGUUUGCUAAACCAUCGCCGUUAAUUCGGUGCAAAGGUUCGAAUCCUUUACUCUCCG
Molecule: transfer RNA, 95 nt
Filed under: Ferruginibacter sp.
Lineage: Bacteria; Pseudomonadati; Bacteroidota; Chitinophagia; Chitinophagales; Chitinophagaceae
Description: tRNA-OTHER
Rfam family: tRNA
About the family: Transfer RNA (tRNA) molecules are approximately 80 nucleotides in length. Their secondary structure includes four short double-helical elements and three loops (D, anti-codon, and T loops).
Source: RNAcentral